RNAcentral lists this microRNA (21 nucleotides) under Danio rerio (zebrafish). RNAcentral's name for it is "dre-miR-2198". Lineage: Eukaryota; Metazoa; Chordata; Actinopteri; Cypriniformes; Danionidae. The record is from miRBase by way of RNAcentral.
AGCUCGUGUCCCAAGGCGCCU